GCCCAAGAGAUCGGGAUAACACCUGGAAACAGAUGCUAAUACCGGAUAACAACAGAUGAUGCCUAUCAACUGCUUAAAAGAUGGUUCUGCUAUCACUCUUGGAUGGACCUGCGGUGCAUUAGCUAGUUGGUAGGGUAACGGCCUACCAAGGCGAUGAUGCAUAGCCGAGUUGAGAGACUGAUCGGCCACAUUGGGACUGAGACACGGCCCAAACUCCUACGGGAGGCAGCAGGU
Molecule: ribosomal RNA, 234 nt
Filed under: uncultured Lactobacillus sp.
Lineage: Bacteria; Bacillati; Bacillota; Bacilli; Lactobacillales; Lactobacillaceae
Description: partial 16S ribosomal RNA
Rfam family: Bacterial small subunit ribosomal RNA
Source: RNAcentral